UACGGAGGGGGCUAGCGUUGUUCGGAAUUACUGGGCGUAAAGCGCGCGUAGGCGGACCUGCAAGUCGGGGGUGAAAGCCCGAGGCUCAACCUCGGAACUGCCUUCGAUACUGCGGGUCUCGAGUCCGGGAGAGGGUAGUGGAAUUCCCGGUGUAGUGGUGAAAUGCGUAGAUAUCGGGAGGAACACCAGUGGCGAAGGCGACUACCUGGCCUGUUCUUGACGCUGAGGCGCGAAAGCUAGGGGAGCAAACGGG
RNAcentral lists this ribosomal RNA (253 nucleotides) under uncultured bacterium. RNAcentral's name for it is "partial 16S ribosomal RNA". It matches the Rfam family "Bacterial small subunit ribosomal RNA", at positions 524 to 776 of the family's 1533-position model. The record is from RNAcentral.